GCCGCCCUGGCCUCCCUGCCGCCGCACAGCCCAUCUGGCCCCAAGCCCGCCCCAGCUGGGCCGCCCGACGCCCCGGUCGCGGGGGGCCCUCACAGCCCCGCAGAGGUCUGAGACUAGGGCAGAAGCGCCAGGCGUCAGGCGUCUACCCAUGCCAGCACCUGGGCUAGCCGCUGGGUUCAUCCUGAUGGGGCAGAAGCCGCCCUAGAAGGACCAUCCAGGAUGUGCCACACAAACCCCAUCCCUGCCCCUGCCGUCCCCCCGAAGGUGCACCCAAUACAGCAGCAGGCGGCAUCUCAGGAUUAGAGGCCAGCUUUCUGGAGCCAGCCACUGUGGUUGCAGAUCCCCAGAGAUCAUUCUAGAUGCCAUAUAUGCAGUGGCUUGGAGGAGCCGGUGGUCUUUUUGGGAGAUGCUGAAGCCUGAACCCGAAUGAGGGGAGAUGCAAGGUUCUGGACAAGUGGGGAUGACAGGGCCUGCUGUAAGGACCUGAGCAGGUUGGGAAGGCUUCGGUGAAGUAAAUCAGAAAGGGCCUGAGCAUCUUCUGCAAGGAAACUGUUCAGCCCCAGAGAGAGGGACAACCUGAAGUCGGCCCCCACUCCAUCGAGGGGGUUAAGGGUUCUGCCUGAGUGCAAGAUCUUGUCUAGUGAGGAUCUCACAUGAUGCCCCCUCCCUACCUCGAGCUGGGAUCCUUGCCAGCCCACUGACUUAUUGCUGUGAUGUGCGUCUGAUU
Long non-coding RNA from Lutra lutra (Eurasian river otter), 727 nucleotides. RefSeq lists it as uncharacterized. The transcript is spliced from 5 exons. NCBI's taxonomy places the organism in Eukaryota, Metazoa, Chordata, Mammalia, Carnivora, Mustelidae. The record is from RefSeq and is a predicted model, not a curated record.